GUCAAGGGGGCAUGACUUGGGGUCCCUGUCUUGUACCUGACCCCUCCCUCUCUGGCUUCAGCCCCUUUGGCUUCCCAGCUACCAUAAUACAAGGUCUCACGAUGUAAUUAGAGUUGGCCUUGAACUCAUGAGCCCAGGCUGGCCCCAAACUCAUGGUGCUUCUCCUACCUCAGCUCUCCAAGUUCUUGCACUAUCGUGCCUGGCUCUCAAGUGACUAUGUGGUGCGGGAGCUGCGGGGCGCUGGGUGGCGUCCAGGGGCGUGCAGUCCCAGGCAGUCGCAGUCCUUGGCGCCGACCCGACGGUCACUAUGCCGAAGAGAAAGUCUUCAGAAAAUACAGAGGGCAAAGAUGGAUCCAAAGUAACUAAAUAGGAACCCACAAGACGGUCUGCCGGAUUGUCGACGCCUCCUGAACUGUGAGAUACACAUUCCUAUUAUCUAUGAAUUAUCAAGUAUUGGAUAUUUUGUCAUUGUAACUCCAAUGGAUAUGACAGUGAAGCUUCACUUUUAAAAAGCAAUCAUGAAAACCCUGGGAAAGAAAAUCUGGUUUUAAUAUUCUGACAAUGGCUGAAUUACCGUGAUACUGACUGAAGCUUUGAUCAUGCAAGUGAAAUAAGGGCAUCAAAGGAUUUGGAAGACAUCCCGUGGCCCACACAUUCGAGUCAACAUGUGUGUUAACACAGGUUGUAUUUCUCCCCUAUAGGAUGAUGUUUUUAUGGAAAAUCACCUCCCAACUAUUCUUUAUGUCUUGUUUUAAGGUGGAACUAAUUCUUUCAUUGUUAGCCAUUGCUGAAAUUGCACUUUUCUUUUGUGUGCUUGUAGUACGGUAUUUUGCUCUUUAAUUUUAUUACUGCCAAAUGUGGUUUCUAUUACAAAGACAAGGAGAAGUGCUUUAAGGCUGCCUUGACCCAGACUCUAAUUUUGUCAGAGAGAAGUAACUCGAGUACAUUCAUUUGGUUAAAACCCUAGGUAUCCUACAUCUGUGUAUUAUUUUCCCUUCACAGUUUCAUUUUCAUAUUCUCUCUCUCCCUCUCUCCUCUCUUUCUUCUCUUUGCUCAACUUCACUGCCUUCAUUUUGUUGAUCUACAAAAACUCCUAAAUACAUUCUUUGAAAUCUUCCCAUUUGCCCUUUCUGCUAUGUAAAUGUGAUGCCUUUCCCUCCUUCCUUUUGCCUAU
Molecule: long non-coding RNA, 1174 nt
Organism: Chinchilla lanigera (long-tailed chinchilla)
Lineage: Eukaryota; Metazoa; Chordata; Mammalia; Rodentia; Chinchillidae
Exons: 4
Source: RefSeq, a predicted model, not a curated record